AACCACUCUCCCUACUAUCAAGGGCCGAACAUGGGAAGGAAGAUUGGUUGCUAUUUUUAGCAAAUGUAAGCCCUCACAAAAAUAUCAUAAUCUAUUCUCUGUUUUCAAUAUUUCUCAAUGGCAUCUCUUGUAAAUCCCUCUUCUCUUCUUCUACUCAUCAACAGCCUUCCAACACCAUCAACUCAUCCUCAUCGAGUUCUCUAAGUUGCUGCACCCAAGCAGCAGCAAUGAGCACAAGGAAACCAUAAUGUGAAAUUAAAAGAAAACACAAACCAGUCACCAAGGAUUAAAAGAUUAUUAAACUUACAAUAUUGAUUUUUUUCAAGGUAAGGUGAGAUCACUGAGAAAAAAGGAUUUUAUGGAGAUGAAAAUAAUAUUUAGUGAUAUAAUUGUUAAAUAAAAGCAAGAAAAAGGUUUAACUAGGUAAUAUUUAUUCGUGGAGUUUUUAGGACUAUAUUAAAUAUUAAUUUUUUAAAAAAUAUAAAAGGAUUUUCUUUUUAUUUAAAUUAAUUUUAAAAUUUUUAAAAAUCUGAAUAAUAAUGACGUGGCUUUAAAAGAAAAAAGAUUAAAAGUUCCCAUUUAGGUAAUAAAGAUUUGAAAUAAAUCUAAAAAUCUAAUUUCAUAAUUUAAGUUCUAGCAACCUAAAGAGAAUCCUAAUAUCUAACUAAAAUGAAUGAGAACUUAUAAUUCUAAUUAAAUAUAAAAUAUAGAAACCUAAAAGAAACUUAAAAUAUCUUAAGUCAAUCCUAAAAUUUCUAAGGACUAACUACUAGAUAAAAUAGAUCCAAAAUCUUAUAACAUAAAUUUAAGCCUAACCUAUGUCCUAAAAACAUCAACAAUCAUCAUACUAGGAAUAUAUAUAUAUAUGUAUAUAAGAGCAAUAAUCAAGUAAAUUUAAUUCAACAUACCAAUAUCAUGAUAAUAAAAUAUGCAUGGUAAAUUCUGUAAAAAGAAUAAAUAAAAUGAAAUGAGACCCUAAAAACCCAAAUUAAAACAAAGGUAAUGUUUGGAUUAAUGGAAUAAACAAAAUGAAUAAGGAAAAGUACUAUGGAAACAAGAUAAAAAUAAAUGAAAGGAAAGUAAUAAAUAAAAUGAAAUAUGACUAAAGAUAAAUCUUUUUUUCCUUAAAUUAGGGAAAUGUCGAAACGGAGGGACUAAAGGAGCAAUUAAUUUGCUCACAUUUUUUAAAAUCAAGAUUAAAUUGUAUCGACUUUCAAAAACAAAAAGGCAGAAGCCCUAAAAGGGUAAACUCAGGCACGUGAGGGACUGGGCUGCAAACUUUUCAUCCCCCACUAUAUAAGUCAAAAAAUAAGAAAAGAACCUUUUGAUUUUCAUUUUUCUGAAAUUUAGUUUUAUACUCCCGUUUCCUCUUUUUUGUCUCUCGGGCAGCUCCGCCGCUGGAGAAUCCAAGGUUCUUCGGUUUCCAGCGGCGGAGCACCACACGUUGUGAUCGGAGACUAAAAAACUUAUUGUUUUUUUUCUUCUUCAUUUUUGUUUUUCUUCGUUUCUGGGUUUCAAACUAGAAAAGCCUCGUAGGGGAAAAUGGAAAAAAGAACUUGAAAAUUUUCCCUUUUUUUCGAUAAGGGUUCUCCGUUCCAGAUCUACGAAAUAAAAAAAGGGGGAAAAAGGAAAGGAAAGGAAGCUGGAAGGAAUAAACGCAUGGAUUCACCAAACAGUCUUAGAACCGAGGACUUAGUUCGGUGAAAGCCCUUCAUCGGAGCUCACCACCAUUUGUUUAUGCAUGCACGUGAAAGUAAACGGCAGUGGAGCAAGGCCGAGGGUCUACCUUUAACGGCGUGUUCAGGGGCUUCUCUUUUUUCAAGGGCUUUUUUUUUUUUUGUUUUUUCUUGCAGGUUAUUCCGCUUUUUAAUACUCGUAUUAUUGUUAAUCUCCCAUAUGCUUCUUUGUGUUUGUGGUUCUUUCAUUGUUUUACCCUUCUUGCUUGUAUUCACACCUGCGACACUAAUGUGGGCGUUUGGGCUCCGUUGCUGGGUUGGGUCAGACCCAAAUUUAACUUAAUUGGACUCUGAUCCUAAUUUAGGCUUGACUAGUAAAGUGGACCUGAAAUCAAAUUUUAGGCCUUUAAACAAACGGGCCUUUGAAUUCUUCUCAUUUUUUAUAAAAAGAAAGAAUUUGGACUCUUCAGUGAUAAACCAAUUUGGAAGUUGAUUGAGCCUUGAAGUGGGUUAAAAAUUUAUCAGCAAGCUCAAUUAGAUUCAAAUAUGGGCUUGUAAAACUGAUUUGGAUUCACAGUAAGUUUUAAAUCAACCGGGCUCAAAUCUUUGGGUUUUUUUACUUAACACAUUUCAAUAUUAAGCCCAAUAAUAAUAAUAAUAAUGGCUUGAAAAU
This 2349-nucleotide long non-coding RNA is filed under the name Gossypium barbadense (sea-island cotton). RNAcentral's name for it is "long non-coding RNA (GBAR_LNC014308)". Lineage: Eukaryota; Viridiplantae; Streptophyta; Magnoliopsida; Malvales; Malvaceae. The record is from RNAcentral.